RNAcentral lists this non-coding RNA (48 nucleotides) under Schistosoma mattheei. The record is from RNAcentral. Lineage: Eukaryota; Metazoa; Platyhelminthes; Trematoda; Strigeidida; Schistosomatidae.
AUCCAGUUGACGAGUCCAAAAUAGGACGAAGGCUGCGUCAAACUGGAU